UGUAACCAAUCGAGGGCCCAAGUGGGCAGGUGGCACUUAUGACACUGUAAUCGGCAUCGAUGAGAAGAAUCGAGAAACUCCCUCGCCAUCGGGUCACUAAUCUGCUCGGCUCCUCCCAGCGAUUCCCCGCGGUCCUCGCCGGCGGCGGCUCCUCCCAGCGAUUCCCCGUCGUCUUCGACGGCGGCGGCUAGGGACAGGGACUGAGCGUCUUGCGUCGUUCCUUCUGCCUGCUAGGACGAGCAGCGGAUCGAAUUAACCACAUGCCGUUCGCCGGAGCCAUAGCCAUCGCCAUCCUCUUGCUGGCCCCCUGUGCCGAGGCCACGUCGGGGGGCUUCACGAUCGAGCAGAUCUUGUCCGACAAGGGGUGCGGUGCCUUCGCCGGCCUCGUUGCCACCACGGCCAGCGUGGGCGAGGUGUUCCGUUCCUUUUUAGAGAAGGAGGUUGAGACCCCCGACGUGUUCGACGUGUUCGGUGAGAAGAGGGCCCGCAAUGCGGGGCUCACCAUUUUCUGCCCGGAAGACGAUGCGGUGGCGGGGUUCACUCCGAGAUUCAAGAAGCUCAGCGCUGACGCGCAGGUCGCACUUCUUCUGUAUCAUGGAGUGCCGUCGCGUCGCUCCGAGGAGGCGCUCAGGUUGAUCAACGGGGAGGAGGUGCCGACGCUUGAUAAGGGUCCCUUGCCGGGCUCCAGAAGCAUGCUCACCAUCGAUGUCUAUGAAGAUAUCGUGGUACUUUCUUCGCCGUUGCCGUCGCCGUCGGUUGCUGCUGUCACCGAGAUGGUCGUCGACCACGACCGCCUGGCUGUCUACAUCAUCAACGACGUGAUGAUUCCGAGAGAGCCAGAGAUUGGAUUCCCAGCCUUGCUUCUUUUCUUUGGGCUCCUGGCGUUGGCAGCGCUGGUGCUCGCGCAGGUAUUAUUGAUCUUCGGUGACGUCUGAGAAGAUCGUUUCGUGUCAAGAUUGCGCUACUACCUAUGUUGGGCGACAAGGACCUUAGUUCAUGACUGUUUCAUUUACAUCGGCUGGUCUAAUGUUAACAACUUCUACAUUAUCCUGCUCUGUUUCAUACUUGGUAUCGCUGCCUACCUUUACAAUGUGCUUAAGAAGUGAGUGAGGUGCAACUGUGUGCUCAUGUCGUGGUCGGUAGUGAUCUUGCAUUGGAUUCUCUACUUGUCAUGUCCUGCUGUGAUUGGUUUCAAUAUGGGCAGCUUUGGUGGAAAGUGGAGUUGUUGAAGAUGAUGAUUUAAGCAUAAGAUUAGAACCUAAUUGCAUUGGAAAGAAAGGGUUUUAGGAUCUUAUACGCCCAGUGGGAGCUGCCGUGUCAAUGGAGGAAAAUGGACUUCCUCGUCUCAUCCGGAUCCACGCCGCCACCGUCACACCACAGACCACACACCCUUCUCCCUCUCCUCCUCGAUCUUCUGGACACGGUCGGCGGCUGCUGUCAGACGCGGCUGAGCCGUCGCCGCAGCCUCUGGUUCCCUUUGCCAUAAUUCCAUUGCUGGCACCUGCCCCUCCUUGGCGGUCCCAAUCGAAAUCGAGAAGAUCGCGCGGCACCAACGGAGAGGAAGUCGGUGUCGUGCUUUGCUGCUCGUUAUCUGUCACGGAUUUUCCAAGGUCUCGUGCCUCGAUUUGAUUUCCUACAUGAGGAAGUGUACAGCCGUGAUUGCUGCAGGUGUUUGCACAUUUCAAAAUGGAUUGGUUGCCUUGCAGGGCUGUGACGGCUUGGUUCUCAUUGAGUCGAUGGUAAACAGUACGGCGGAGAAGGUUGUGAUCCCAAACAACCCAAGCCUCCAGGCUCCAGCUCUUCGAAGUCAUCGCGCCGAAGGCAGCCAUUGAGGUGUCUGAAUAAUGCUUGUUGCCUGGCAAUCAGAAGAUGCAGAUAGAUUGUGGAUCGCACAUGCUUAAUCUGCAUAAAGCUCUGCUUCAAGUACCCAGACAGGGAUUAGUGCAACAGCUACUCAGCUGGUCUGAAGCAACGGAUGCCUACAUACAUUACAGGAUGUUGACCAUUUCUUGAUCAGAAAGACAUACAAAAUGUUAGUUCAGUUUGAUUCAUGGACCCAUAUGGUCAAACAUAUCCAUGGAGUGUAGUUCUUGAACCAAAAAUUCUGUGAUCUGGUACAAUGUUUGUGUUGCUAGUUGGAAUAUAUGACCCAAAGUUCAUGUUGCUAAUUUUCUGACUUGGAUGAAGUGCUAAAUUUUGAAGACAAUUAUGUGAUCUGAUACAGUGGGAAAGGAGGAUACAGCUUUUCUCAAUGUUGCACAUGGUUCAAUUCGUAUACAAAAUGAAGGUGUCUCAUAAGAAAAUGAACUUGUGCAUGGAUCUGAAUUAGGAAAGAAAUUUGCUUCGUAGUACAUGGGAAACGAACCAAAAAGAUUUCUUUGCUCUUCGUAAAGGACGUUUGUGUAUGGAUUGGAAGCAUGUGUACAUACUUGAGAAUCCACUGAAUUUGAGGCAGACUUUAGCAAACUGGCAGGGGCUUCAAGACGAGAACUGUACAGAAGAAAGGGGCUUUGCUGUAAAGGAAUUGCACCAAUCUCAAUGAAAUGAAUGGCGAACAAAGGGGUUUUGUGUUUUCGGUGCAGUCGAGGGCGUUCAAAUCUCUGUGCGCCUUCUCUUGCGUCAAGGACAUAUAAUUAUCUUGACUUGAUGGACAGCACCUCAACAGGUACCCAAGGUCCAAUCCAUCAUGGCAUCAUCCCUUGUAAACAAAGAGGGAAGACUUCCGAAGAGAGCAGGCAGCGUCUCCAAUGAAAAAUUGAUUUCGGCGAAAAAUCUGAAAACUUGUGUCUUGCUCCGUUGGAUUUACAACGAACGGCAUCCACUCGAAGGUGAAGGUCCCACCAGCAACCCAUCAUCCCUUGUAAAAAAAAAGAAGGAAGACUUCCGAAGAGAGCUGGUAACAUGUCGUGAUGCCCGGCAAUUUGUUAAUUUGGCUUUGUCUGGGACUGUUUACUUGAGUUGGGAGGCUAGGUGUCCACACGAUGCCAAUCAAUUUUCUUAUUUUUGAAACCUGCUCUUCCAAUUUGUUAAUUUGGAGGUUAGCUGUCCACACAUGCUCAUCAAAUUUCUUAUUUUUGGAACUUGCCCUUCCAAUUUGUUAACUGGGAUGUGCUUCAGUACGCCCCAUAAAAAAAUAUUUACAAAUAUCGAUGCAAAUCAGUGGUGGAGAUUAGUAGAUACCUUUUCAUUAUAAAAUGUACUUUAGUCUGUUUUACCAAAUUAAACCGCCAAGGAAAACUUAAAACUGGUGGGUCAUUGAUUAUUGCAACACUGAAUAUACAUAGCCCAUUUGAAAUCCACAAAAAAAUCAAGGUAACUGGUGACCAGGCUGUAUAGGAGUAACUGUAAUUAAUGGCGAUUAGGAAGCGUGGACCGGCAUGUUGUUGUGGGGAUUCCGCUGUAAUCAUGUAUGCGCCGGCUGUGGGCAGCCUGCACAACCAAUAUUUGCAGGGACGAGGGCGCUUGUACAACUGGGAAAGAUGGUUUGACGGAGCAGCUAGUUCACCGUUGCAAGUCCCAUCAGUCUCAAAGGAAAUCCUUUUCAGGAUGAGCCCAAUGAAUAGUAAAUAGAGAUAGGUAUGGGUUUGGAUCGGUGUCUCCCUGUAUAAUUGUACCAUUAAGUUUUAUAAGGUGGGUUUCAUCGAGUACUUAUGAAUAUGUUGGGAUCUUUUAUUUGACUGAAUAAAAUACCAGCCCCCCAUUGGUCUUUAAAAUACUAGCAGUUGGUAAUAUUAAAGCAGCGUUGCAUAUCUAUUCAAUGUUGUUUUUGAAAUAAUAUCUACUCAAUUUGCCACUUAUCUACUCAAUUAUGCAAGGAUUGUCUCUGUUUGUCAUGACUCGCGAGCCACUGUAAUGGCCGAUCGAUCCCUCAAUUAGUUUAAACCUUCCUGAAGGUGAGCUGUAUGUCUACCUAAAUAAUUAAGCAAGUGUCAUCGAUUGUUUAAUCGGAUAGGGCCGGACUGUGAUAAGUACAUUUAGAAAUAAGUACCGAGACCUAUUCACACCAGAUGAUACCUCACGCGAUGCUGAGUGCAAUGGAGUAUUAAUAUUGAUUAGUAAUAUGAGAACUGAAAAUAAAAUGUACUCCCUCCGCUCACAAAUAUAAGAUGUUUUGGAUAUUUCAAUAUGGACUACAUACGGACUGAAAUGAGUGAACAAACACACUAAAUGUGUCUAUAUACAUCCAAUUAACAAAAAAGUUAGAACAUCUUAUAUUUGUGAACGGAGGAGUAUAUGUUUAUUGUUUUUGAUUAUUAUUGUAGAGUUGUAAAAAUACUAUUGAAUAUAAAUAGCAUAAUAGAAUGGAAAGUCUUUCCCAUACACGGUUGCAUAUUGUGCCUUUUUUCUAUACAUGGUUACAUGUUAAUGUGACACAUUUGUAUGUCGAGAGAAAUAUGUUAAUGUGGAUCGUCAAUUAAAUUAUAUAGGAUUAUCUCGACUUGACCUGACCAACGGUGUUGUCAAGGGCGUUCACACGCUGUGCACGCUGUGAGUGGUUAUUUAUCUCAAAGUUAACAUUGUUUUGUGCCAAAUUUUGUUAGUUUCCAUUUCCAUGUGCACAUCUUCCUUCAUUGUUUCAGCACUCGACUCUGCUUUACAUAUUAGCGUUAGAUGGACGAAGUAGGUUAGCAUUAUAAAUAUUUGAAUCGAACAUGCAUGCCACCAUGCAUAAAGUUGGUUGAGCAAUGUACAUUGCGUCUGUUUCCUCAUCAUCUCUGGCAUGAGCCUGUUAAAUGCCCUUCUUAAAAUUUCUCUUAUCCUCUUGAGGGUCACGAACUGAACCUUUUAGUUUUCUCUUACAACAUGACACAUACAGCGGGAAACUUUGAUGAUGAGUACUUGAAGGGGACUGAAGAAUCAAAUAAGUUUCAUCAGGAAUAUAAGAUGCGUAGAAUGAAGCAUAUGUAAAAUUUUGAUUCACCAAUGAUGAAGGUUUGGAUGUUAUUGGUGAAGGGCUGGCAACUCUGGAAAACAUGGCAUCGGAUAUGAACGAGGAAUUGGAUAGGCAUGUUCUUGUUCAGGCAAGUUCCCUUGAUGGAUGAAAUGGAUGACAAGGUGGAUAGAGCCAAUGCAGAUCUGAAGAAUAUACCAACGUGAGGCUAAAACAGACUAUUCUUCAGAAAGAAAAACAAAUCAUCUAUGCGCUGGUGUGGUGGGAGAGACAGCGUCAGCCCUGUCCCUAUGGAUGCACCUGGCAGCGGACCACGUGUGCCGUGGAGCCGACGAGCUAGCAGGCUGCCGGAUGGGAUCUCCAGUGCUGCACCACCAGCAAUCUCGCGUGGAUGAUGACCUCCAUCACCGGGGGGAGCACAAGCUCGUUGAUAGAGGUCUUCACUCGCAAUGCCGGUGGCUGCGCAAGGUCUCCACGUUCAUACGCUGCUCGUGGAGGGUAAACUGCAUAGGCAUUUUGUUAAUUUUAUUUGAGAUUUUCCUUAAAAUGGAAGGUCGGAUAAUCGAAUUUUCACAGAAUGAGUCACUUGAUGUAAGUCUCAAAUGAUGUCCCUACGCCGCAUUCAGUUGUAAGAGUAGAGACAAACAGAAAUUGCUUGCCAUAAAAGUGUGUCAAGAGACUUGUUUUGUUGUA
Triticum aestivum (bread wheat) is the source of this 5584-nucleotide RNA transcript. It is a transcript of the gene named fasciclin-like arabinogalactan protein 2, with no coding region annotated. The record is from RefSeq and is a predicted model, not a curated record. The transcript has 14 exons. NCBI's taxonomy places the organism in Eukaryota, Viridiplantae, Streptophyta, Magnoliopsida, Poales, Poaceae.